GCGUCGGCGGUUCAAUGGUAGAAUGCUCGCCUGCCAAGCGGGCAAUCCGGGUUCGUUUCCCGGCCGAAGCA
Non-coding RNA from Schistosoma mansoni, 71 nucleotides. Lineage: Eukaryota; Metazoa; Platyhelminthes; Trematoda; Strigeidida; Schistosomatidae. The record is from Rfam.